RNAcentral lists this unclassified non-coding RNA (494 nucleotides) under uncultured Glomus. RNAcentral's name for it is "SSU rRNA". It matches the Rfam family "Eukaryotic small subunit ribosomal RNA", at positions 569 to 1067 of the family's 1831-position model. Lineage: Eukaryota; Fungi; Glomeromycota; Glomeromycetes; Glomerales; Glomeraceae. The record is from RNAcentral.
AGCAGCCGCGGUAAUUCCAGCUCCAAUAGCGUAUAUUAAAGUUGUUGCAGUUAAAAAGCUCGUAGUUGAAUUUCGGGGUUAGCAGGUCGGUCGUGCCAUCGGUAUGAACUGGUCUCGCUGAUCCCUCCCUCUUGACGAACUGUGAUGCCAUUAAUUUGGUGUCGCAGGGAAUCAGGACUGUUACUUUGAAAAAAUUAGAGUGUUUAAAGCAGGCUCACGCUUGAAUACAUUAGCAUGGAAUAAUGAAAUAGGACGUUUGAUCCUAUUUUGUUGGCUUCUAGGAUUGACGUAAUGAUUAAUAGGGAUAGUUGGGGGCAUUAGUAUUCAAUUGUCAGAGGUGAAAUUCUUGGAUUUAUUGAAGACUAACUACUGCGAAAGCAUUUGCCAAGGAUGUUUUCAUUAAUCAAGAACGAAAGUUAGGGGAUCGAAGACGAUCAGAUACCGUCGUAGUCUUAACCAUAAACUAUGCCGACUAGGGAUCGGAUGAUGUUAAU